Molecule: ribosomal RNA, 925 nt
Filed under: uncultured Lactococcus sp.
Lineage: Bacteria; Bacillati; Bacillota; Bacilli; Lactobacillales; Streptococcaceae
Description: bacterial SSU rRNA
Rfam family: Bacterial small subunit ribosomal RNA
Source: RNAcentral
UAGAGUUUGAUCAUGGCUCAGGACGAACGCUGGCGGCGUGCCUAAUACAUGCAAGUUGAGCGCUGAAGGUUGGUACUUGUACCGACUGGAUGAGCAGCGAACGGGUGAGUAACGCGUGGGGAAUCUGCCUUUGAGCGGGGGACAACAUUUGGAAACGAAUGCUAAUACCGCAUAAAAACUUUAAACACAAGUUUUAAGUUUGAAAGAUGCAAUUGCAUCACUCAAAGAUGAUCCCGCGUUGUAUUAGCUAGUUGGUGAGGUAAAGGCUCACCAAGGCGAUGAUACAUAGCCGACCUGAGAGGGUGAUCGGCCACAUUGGGACUGGGACACGGCCCAAACUCCUACGGGAGGCAGCAGUAGGGAAUCUUCGGCAAUGGACGAAGGUCUGACCGAGCAACGCCGCGUGAGUGAGGAAGGUUUUCGGAUCGUAAAACUCUGUUGGUAGAGAAGAACGUUGGUGAGAGUGGAAAGCUCAUCAAGUGACGGUAACUACCUAGAAAGGGACGGCUAACUACGUGCCAGCAGCCGCGGUAAUACGUAGGUCCCGAGCGUUGUCCGGAUUUAUUGGGCGUAAAGCGAGCGCAGGUGGUUUAUUAAGUCUGGUGUAAAAGGCAGUGGCUCAACCAUUGUAUGCAUUGGAAACUGGUAGACUUGAGUGCAGGAGAGGAGAGUGGAAUUCCAUGUGUAGCGGUGAAAUGCGUAGAUAUAUGGAGGAACACCGGUGGCGAAAGCGGCUCUCUGGCCUGUAACUGACACUGAGGCUCGAAAGCGUGGGGAGCAAACAGGAUUAGAUACCCUGGUAGUCCACGCCGUAAACGAUGAGUGCUAGAUGUAGGGAGCUAUAAGUUCUCUGUAUCGCAGCUAACGCAAUAAGCACUCCGCCUGGGGAGUACGACCGCAAGGUUGAAACUCAAAGGAAUUGACG